Molecule: long non-coding RNA, 2016 nt
Organism: Solanum lycopersicum (tomato)
Lineage: Eukaryota; Viridiplantae; Streptophyta; Magnoliopsida; Solanales; Solanaceae
Source: RefSeq, a predicted model, not a curated record
UCUUUAAAGUUUUGAUCUUUGAUUGGGUUUGUGAAUUGCAGUGGCCAAAGGGGUAAAAAGAAGAUUAGUUGAUUAUUUUUGAUGUUGAAGUGGAUUGAUUUAAAUGUCUAAAAUCAAUAUUUUUUUUAGUUUUAUGUGUGAAUAUAUGUAAAUCAAUCUGCUACAACUAAAAUCGAAUAAGUGGGUAACACUAAGAAGACGGUAUGACUAAAACAAUAAUUUUUUUUAAUUUAUUGUCCUAUCAUGUUAAGACAAUUCAGAAUCUUGUACCGGUAGUCUUUUUAUUAGGUGGAUAUAUGAGUUCAUUUUGUCAUUUUCAUUUCAUCAUCUUUGUUCUUUUUGUCAUAAAAUUAUUGAAGAGGUCGAUUUCUUAAUGGGUAAAUUAAGAAUAGUAGAAGGAGACUAUUAGAUAGUUUGAUUUGAUUAGGCUUUUUGUUGAAGUAGCGUUAAUAUAUGUUAUAGUGAUGAUUCCUGUUAACACCUAAUUUUGACCCUCCACGAUUUGAUUAAUUUUUAAGCUUCUUAAAUAUUGAACAAUGGGAAAUAAUUUUUUUUGAAAUUAAAAAAUACUAUAAAAUUAUCUUCCAAAACUUUUUUUCCCACUUUUUCAUAUGGAUUAUAUAUCUUUAUACUUAAAAUAUACAGAUUUAGAUAGUUUUUCUAUUUGAAUAAAUAGUUAGUAAAUUGAUUUACAAAAAAAUAAAGCUUCAAUUAACUAUGCAACUUAUUUUCUUUAAACAGACAAUUUAAUUAAGGUCUUUUCUUUUGAAAUAAUUAUUUUGAUGGUGUUGAGGUUAAGAAGCUUGAGUAAUUAGUUGACUUUCUAGUACAUCUCAAUUCCCUUUGAAACUCUCUUCAAGAACUUUAUUUAGUCCAUAAUUGGACCAUCAGAUAACCUUUAACCCAAAAUUUUGGCCCAAAUUCUUUAAACCCAUUUCACAUUAACAAAUCCAAGACCCAAUUCAGAUUUUGAAAAUUUCCAGAGUCCCACAUCGUUUUUCCCUUUAUUUUAACCCAGAGUUUGUCCUAUAUAAACCCCCUCACCCUUACUGUUUAGCGCAGGAGUUUUUGGAGGCGAGAAAUAGAACACCUCGCUAUGUUUUUGGGAGUUCUUAUUUUCGUCAUUGAAGUUUUGUUGAUUUGCGACUAUUUUGAGUCGGAGUGGGGUUGGAAUUCGUCAUGUCUAGGAUUGUGUUCCAGCGCUGCCUAGAACAAGAUAUAAGAAAUAUUGGAAUUGCAGCAUGGAGUGAUACCUUAACAAUCAUGUGCAUCUGAAGAACUGAAUAAACUCUUGAAUAAUAAGGGAGCUAAUUUCUCAAAAAGUUCCCUCUUCUGGAAAAAAAGGAAAACAAAGUCAAAUAGCUUAUUGCCUUUGUUUUGCUUUUCCAGAAGAAGGAACUUUUCGAGGAUUUGACCCCCUUAUGUUGGUACCUCAUUUGAUACUAUCACUUCGUGCCUACUGGCAUUUAGAAAGGUAUGCCAUUACAAAUGUAGAUUUUAUUCCUCUCAAUUACAAAUCAAUCGGGAAGUUGACAAUGAUAUUUUUAGAAUCUAACUGCAAGGGGGCUAUGAAAAGGUAGCAAAAAUGCUGUAACGUAACACCAUUAGUCUAAAGGAACUCUCUCAAUGCUUUAUUUUUACAUUUACUUUCCAAGCUUCUUCUCCAAUUGUUCUUGCAAUUAUCAGGUGUAUGUUGGUUAAUUGUUUUGAUUUGCAUUUAAUUUUAUUUUACCCUUUCGGGUUUGCACAAAUAUCUAUUUUGCAUAGUAUUUAAAUCUUUUGAUUAAGGUUUAUAUACUGUGGGUGAUUGUCAAAAUUUUAAUCUUUCAUUGAGUUUGCGAAUGUAGUGACCAAAGGGGUCAAAGAAGAUAGUUAUUUUUUCCAUCUAUUUGUGAAACUCGAUUCUGGUUUCCAUGUUAAAGUGGACUGACUUAUAAUUUCUAAUAUCAAUAUUUUCUUUUAUUUUUUAAUCUUAUAUGUGAAUAUGCAACUCAAUAUGCUAACUCAUUAUUAAAC